RNAcentral lists this signal recognition particle RNA (99 nucleotides) under Burkholderiales bacterium. RNAcentral's name for it is "signal recognition particle sRNA small type". It matches the Rfam family "Bacterial small signal recognition particle RNA". Rfam says of the family: The signal recognition particle (SRP) is a universally conserved ribonucleoprotein involved in the co-translational targeting of proteins to membranes. The record is from RNAcentral. Lineage: Bacteria; Pseudomonadati; Pseudomonadota; Betaproteobacteria; Burkholderiales.
GGCGGGCCUCCCCGCAUCGCAUGGUAGUGAACCUGGUCAGGUCCGGAAGGAAGCAGCCACAGCUAUUUAAUGCGAGUGCCGGGGGUUAGGCUCGCCACC